This 490-nucleotide ribosomal RNA is filed under the name uncultured bacterium. Its description in RNAcentral is "partial 16S ribosomal RNA". It matches the Rfam family "Bacterial small subunit ribosomal RNA", at positions 28 to 507 of the family's 1533-position model. The record is from RNAcentral.
GAUGAACGCUCGCUCCAGGCUUAACACAUGCAAGUCGCGGGGCAGCAUGGGGGUUGCUUGCAAUCCCCGAUGGCGACCGGCGCACGGGUGAGUAACGCGUAUCCAACCUGCCCUUCACCACGGGAUAACCCGGCGAAAGUCGGACUAAUACCGUAUGUUGUCCAUUGACGGCAUCCGAUUUGGACGAAAGGCUUGGCGGUGAGGGAUGGGGAUGCGUCCGAUUAGCCAGACGGCGGGGUAACGGCCCACCGUGGCUACGAUCGGUAGGGGUUCUGAGAGGAAGGUCCCCCACACUGGAACUGAGACACGGUCCAGACUCCUACGGGAGGCAGCAGUGAGGAAUAUUGGUCAAUGGGCGUAAGCCUGAACCAGCCAAGUAGCGUGCAGGAUGACGGCCCUAUGGGUUGUAAACUGCUUUUAUGCGGGGAUAAAGUGGCCCACGUGUGGGCUUUUGCAGGUACCGCAUGAAUAAGGACCGGCUAAUUCCGUG